Bos grunniens (domestic yak) is the source of this 2961-nucleotide long non-coding RNA. The record is from Ensembl. NCBI's taxonomy places the organism in Eukaryota, Metazoa, Chordata, Mammalia, Artiodactyla, Bovidae.
GCGAGCAUCAUAGCAGGGCUUUCUUUGGUCAGGGAGCCCUAAUGGUGUGUCAGGAUUAUAUAAUUCACUCUCCUAGGGAAUCCAAAAGAAAGAUAAAUUGUUUGGUUGGGAGAAAUUAACCACAGAUUGAUCCUAUCUGUUUUAAUUUAGCACAGGAUGGCUUAGACUACUCCAAGGAGCAGAUGGGCUAUUGAUCUGACAAUAGAAUAAUCAGAGCACCAAAGCUGGGUGGGGAGAGACUUCGGAGCACUUGGGGCUUUGCCAGGGUGGCCCUCUCGGAAGGAAAGCUAUCCCUUAAUUGAGCAAAUGCCUUUGCCUGCUCACAGGUCUUAUUAGGGCAAGGACUCCCAAGGUCUGAACCUGGCAUGGGCACGGAGCUCUCAUGUAAAGAGGCCACAGCUUAUGCCAGGCUUGCUGGCAGAGAGAGGCAACUUGGCAGCAGAAGGAUGCUGCUGUGUCCCAAGCGCUGGUUAGAUUGGCACUGGAACAUGUGUCUGCUACAUCCAAGCCACAACCUAUUGACAACAAGGCUGAGCAUCCCACUGAAAAGCAGAUCAGGAGGCCAGUGACCUUGAGCCUGCAUGAGGGAACCGAUGAAUAGGAAAAUGAUGGACGGGACUGACUCACUUGGAAGCUGAACCCAAAAACCAGGUCAGUUCAGGAUUGAGGCAGAGGGUGUGGUUCCUAAAUACACUGACAUUAUGGCAGAGCUGGCAGUAGUUGGGUUCAACAGAAGAGACUGGAGAAAGCCAGGAGAGGUGUUAUGAUUGACACUUUGUGAGAAUCUUGAGACACAUGUGUGAGUGAGUAUAUGUGUGCAUACAAACGCACACAGAAUUACUUUAGGGACCAAUUCCAGAUCAUUUAGCACACAGAUUUAGACGUGAAGACUCUGAAGUUACACUUGUUCAGUUGCUAAGUCGUGUUUGACUUUGUGACCCCAUGGGCUGCAGCCCACCAGGCUUCCCUGUCCCUCACCAUCUCCUGGAGUUUGCUCAAACUCAUGUCCAUUGAUUCGGUGAUGCCAUCUAACUAUCUCAUUCAUCCUCUGCCUUCCCCUUCUCCUCCUGCCUUCAAUCUUUCCCAGCAUCAGGGCCUUUUCCAAUGAGUCGGCUCAAAUUUAAAUUGCUGUGGGACCUUGAGUAACUCAUUUAAAUUUUCUGGGCCUCAGUUUUGCCACAAGUGAAACAUAGUGGAAACUAACAGUGCCACUGAUCCUGUGGGAUUGCAGAUACAGUUUGUUGCAUAAUUCCUGAAAUAUAGCUUGAUAAUUUUGUGCCUUUUUACUAUUAUUAUUUUGUUCAUUAUGUUUAUAUGUACCCCCUAGAAUAAACCCCUUUUCCUUGAGGAAACACAAAUAGUUCUUCCCUUCCUUGCAACUAGGAAGUCUUAACUAAGGUAAACUCUCAUUUUUCAGUGCAAAGAAUUUUACAGCAGGAAAUACCACCUCUCUCUAUUUCUUUCUAACUUUGAAACCUGUUUCCUUUCCAGCCAAAAGAAAUGAUCCUUAUAUGUCAAUGCUGAUCUCUAUCUCUCCUUUUUAAUGAAAAUUUCAUUGAUUACCAUAUUCUGACUUUUGUCUCUGCUGGAUUUUGUCUGCAUCCAAACAAGAUUUUGUGGAAGUGUAUCUGAGAGCUAUUUCAACCACCAUAAUUGUAUGCUGUUUUAAUAGUGGUGUUUGUGAUAUUUCAUGCUUAAAUCUUCUCUCUCCCAACAAAGUAUAAGCUUUUUGAGGGUAAGGGCUAUGCUUUGCAUUUAUUUAUUGCCUAAAGUGCUUAAUAUAAUGCGAGAAUUACCAAGGGAAUUUCAGAAAUUUAUAUUAUUAGAUAAACUUGGGUAAACCACGAAGACUGUCUCCAUUAAGCGGUUCUUCCGUUUCUGAUUUCACCUUUGGCUAGCCCACUGGGCAAUUUCACAAUAUUAAUUUAAUAGUGGAAGACUUGAAGGUAAAUAAGUUCAAGUCCAGCACAUCUGGUUCUCCCAUUAUAUAUGCAGCUAAAAAAUGCUUGAGGUUGGCAAAAUCAUGUCUACUUUCUGAACCUCAGUUUCAAUAUGGGGCUAAUUGAAGCUGAUAGAUGUUUUGAUCUCGAAUUUUUCUGCCAUAUAGAUCUAGUGUCCAUGAAAAAUGAUGACUGAUUUCCUUAUUUUCAUUCUUUUCUAAAACUCUUUGCAACCUCAUGAACUGUAGCUCACCAGGCUCCCCUGUCCAUGAAAUUCCUGAGGGGGACUUUCCAAGCCAGGGAUCGAACCCAGGUCUCCUGCAUUGCUCUUUAACAGGAUUUACUUGUGUUUGGAUCUUCAGAGUGGUCCCAGAGGUAUGUAGUAUGGUGGUUAAGAUGAGGGCUUUAGAAUCUCAGACCUGGGUUUGAAUUUUAGCAGGUCACUGAACCACUUUGAUUCUCAGGAAUAAAACCUAUCUCUGCUCUUUGGCAAGAGGACCUGAAGUGAUGAUGUAUAUGAAGCAUACGUGUUUAAAAGAUUGUGGUAAAGGAUAGAGCUUGGAUUAUAAUUCACAUCUGUCUCAAACCCACAGGGCUGAGCAUCAGCCAUCUCUCACUGGGCACUGUGUAUUCGGGAAGGUUUUUCUUUUUACUUGGUUGCACUGGUGAAGGGUAAGAUACAGCUGAUCCUUAGAAAAGCUUUGCUUAUUGAAUGUGGUAAUAGGAGAUGCUGGAGAUGCACUUAGUGUGGGGAGAGGGAAGGUCUGGCUGAGACUAGAUAGAGAAACAGCAAAACAUCAGCAACAGCCUUGGUCUUUGCAUUCAGCCUUUAGUGAAUGUAACACCUCCAUGGUACUCAGCAUCUAAGGCCUUGAAAAUGACUCUCACAGGGUCUUCCCUCUUUUGAAAGUCAGUUUAUGCAAAUGAAUGGUCUGUGGACCAUUUAUGUGACCUUAGUAGAUUUCUCCUACAUCUGCAAUCCUGUUUGCUUGCAUAUCGAAGAAGGAUGCUAAUAAUUACC